This 708-nucleotide ribosomal RNA is filed under the name Triticum aestivum (bread wheat). Its description in RNAcentral is "partial small subunit ribosomal RNA". Lineage: Eukaryota; Viridiplantae; Streptophyta; Magnoliopsida; Poales; Poaceae. The record is from RNAcentral.
AUGAAAUUAUUUUGUACUUUUUCUGUAGGUGUUUCAGUAACCCAAACACAAGCAAGGCAAGCAGUAGUGUCCGAUGACCCUGCAUAUGCGUACUGUUUUGCCCCAGAUGUGAACAAGAAGUACCAUUUGUAGUGCAAUUUUUGUGACAAGCUAUUGAAAGAUGGAAUUACUAGAAUGAAGUAUCAUCUUGCUUGCAUUACUGGCUUCAAUGCUGUUAAAUGUAAGAAGGUUCCAGCUGAUGUGAAGGAAGAUAUUAUUGCUUUUCUUACAAAGAAGAGUGGUGACAAGCAAAAGAAGAAGGAUGAAGUGCAAAGGGUUCGAUCUACAAUUAAUAUAGAGAACUCAGAUGAUGAAAUGGGUAGUGGGGAUGAUUCUGACUUGGAGAGGAAUGUUGUUGUGUUGCUGAAGUCAACAAGAGGCAGUGGGACGAGUAACUCUGGAGCUGUGGUAGGUAGUGGCAGUGCCACUAUUGAUAAGUUUUACAAGAAAACAUGUAUAGAAGAGUCUGUUCACAAUAAUCAAAGGGGAUUCAAUGUUAGCCAGAAGGUCCAAACAAAGUUGUCAACUAUGAAAAGAGAAGAGAAAAGGGACAGAGUUUGUGAGUAUAUUUGCCAGUUUUUCUAUGAAGCCUGCAUUCCUCACAACACUGUUACCCUCCCUAGCUUUGCUCAUAUGCUUGAGUCCGUCAGACAGUUUGCUAAGGACUAG